This is a long non-coding RNA of Cannabis sativa, 602 nucleotides long. RefSeq lists it as uncharacterized. The transcript has 3 exons. Lineage: Eukaryota; Viridiplantae; Streptophyta; Magnoliopsida; Rosales; Cannabaceae. The record is from RefSeq and is a predicted model, not a curated record.
GAUAUGUGAUAAUCUGAAAUUUAAUUGGCAAUGUUUGGGUGUGAAAUGGCAUUUAUGCCCUUGUAUGUAUGAAUGUGUGAGAAUUGGCCUUAGGGGCAUUUUGGUAUUUUGACCUUUAAUGAUAUACUUUGAUAAAAAUGGAAUGUUUAAGGAAAAUGAAAUAGAAAAUUCUGGGUUUCUUUCCCUCUCUUACCCGACCCUCUCUCCCACUCUUACUCUCUUGAUUUUCAACUUGAUUUGGUGAGAAAUAAGCUUGAUUGAAGCCUUGAAUAUUUGGGGAUUGUGGAGCUUGGCCUUAAAUUGGUUUGAGGAUUACCGGCACCUGAUCAGGAGCACCCGGGGAUUUGGAAUCUCCUUCUAUAGCUGGACAACAGGAAAGGGUAAGGCAUUAGCUGAUCUGCCAUGAGUUUCAGGAGCAGACGAAGAAUGUACAUGUUCACGCCACUUCAGACCAAGCGGGUUAUGGGUCUAACAGUGUUGACUUUUGUAUUCUGUUUUGCCGCUUAGGUCGGCUAGUAAGAAAGAACUUGUAAUAAGUUGUAAAUAUUUUUGGGAUCCCAACUAUUUUGAAAAGUUUAAAUAUAUUACAAGUUUUAUUUUCA